This 442-nucleotide ribosomal RNA is filed under the name uncultured Pseudomonadota bacterium. RNAcentral's name for it is "bacterial SSU rRNA". It matches the Rfam family "Bacterial small subunit ribosomal RNA", at positions 202 to 625 of the family's 1533-position model. The record is from RNAcentral. Lineage: Bacteria; Pseudomonadati; Pseudomonadota.
CAAAGAGGGGGACCUUCGGGCCUCUUGCCAUCGGAUGUGCCCAGAUGGGAUUAGCUAGUAGGUGGGGUAACGGCUCACCUAGGCGACGAUCCCUAGCUGGUCUGAGAGGAUGACCAGCCACACUGGAACUGAGACACGGUCCAGACUCCUACGGGAGGCAGCAGUGGGGAAUAUUGCACAAUGGGCGCAAGCCUGAUGCAGCCAUGCCGCGUGUAUGAAGAAGGCCUUCGGGUUGUAAAGUACUUUCAGCGGGGAGGAAGGGAGUAAAGUUAAUACCUUUGCUCAUUGACGUUACCCGCAGAAGAAGCACCGGCUAACUCCGUGCCAGCAGCCGCGGUAAUACGGAGGGUGCAAGCGUUAAUCGGAAUUACUGGGCGUAAAGCGCACGCAGGCGGUUUGUUAAGUCAGAUGUGAAAUCCCCGGGCUCAACCUGGGAACUGCA